This is a long non-coding RNA of Ahaetulla prasina, 2165 nucleotides long. RefSeq lists it as uncharacterized. The transcript has 2 exons. The record is from RefSeq and is a predicted model, not a curated record. Lineage: Eukaryota; Metazoa; Chordata; Lepidosauria; Squamata; Colubridae.
GUAGACUUUGAGAGGAGCUGGAGGCUCUGCGGAGCUGGUGAGGGCUGCCCAGAGGACGGGAAAGCCCUGCAGGGCUGGGGAACCUCGCUGAGCUUCACAAAGGGCCCAAAAUCGUGAUUUUUUAAAUUAAAAAAAAUGAUUUACGUGCCUCUUGCGCUAUUUUUAUGGUAGUCCUCGACUUACGACCACAACCCCCAAAAAAGCAGCUGUUAAGUGCGAUCUUGAUUGAGUUUUGCCCCAUUUUACAACCUUUCUUGCCGCAGUCGUUAUGUGGGUUGCCCUAGCUGAUAAAGUAGUAAACCUGGUUGUUAAGUGAAACCCCCACCCCUGGACUUGGCUGGUCGGAAGGUCGCAAAAAGGGGAUCGCAUGACCAGAAGGGGACCCUGCCACGGUCGUAAGUGUGAAACAGUUUCCCGGCCUCUGUAUUACGAUCAUUGGGGGAUGCUGCGAUAGUCAUAAGUGCGAAAAAUGGUCGUAAGUCACUUUCCCCCAACCCAUGCCGUUGUAACUUUGAAUGGUCACUAAAUGAACUGUUGUAAGUUGAGGAACUACCUGUCUAGGCUGGGUCAGAGGGCGGUGCUCAAUUGCACUUUGCAGGUGUCUUUUAAUAAUCCUUGAUUUACGACCACUGUUGAGCCUGAGACAUUGGUUAAGUGAGUUUUGCCCCCUUGGACGACUUUUCUUGUCACAGUCGUUAAGUGAAUCACUGCCAUUGUUAACUUAGGCCGGUGGUUGUUAAGUGAGCCCGGCUUCCCUGUUGACUUUCUUGGUCAGAAAUUCGCAAACGAUGAUCGCAUGAACAUUGCAACCGUCGUAAAUGUGAGUCGGUUACCAAAUGUCUGGAUUUUGAGCACAUGACCACGGGGAAGGCGACAAGGGUCGUAAGUGUGAAAAACGGUCGUAAGUCCCUUUUUUCAGUGCUUGUCAGAAGGUUGCAAAAAAGGAGAUCCCAUGACUUUGGGGACACCGCCACGGUCGUAAGUAUGAAACAGUUGCCCGGCCUCUGAAUUUACGAUCAUUGGGGGAUGCUGCAAAAGUCGUGAGUGCGAAAAAUGGCCAUAAGUCACUUUUUCCCCCACGCCAUUGUAACUUUGAAUGGUCACUAAAUGAACGGUUGUAAGUCGAGGACUACCUAUCUAGGCCUGGGUCGGAGAGUGGUGGUGCUCAAUUGCAUUUUGCAGGUGUCUUUUCAUACAGGUAGUCCUCGAUUUACGACCACCAUUGAGCCUAAGAUUUCUGCUACUAAGUGAGACAUUUGUUAAUUGAGUUUUGCUCCAUUUCAUGAUCUUUCUUGCCUCAGUUGUUAAUUGAAUCAUCGCAGUUCAGUUAGUGACGUGGUUGUUAAGUGAAUCUGAUUUCCCCAUUGACUUUCCUUGUCAGAAGGUCACAAAAAGGGAUCACAUGACCCCCCCAGGACAAUGCGAUCGUCAUAAAUGCGAGUCAGCUGCCAAGCAUCUGCAUUCUGAUCACGUGACCACAGGGGGAUGCUACAAAUGGUCGUUAAGUGUGAAAAACGGUCGCAAGUCACUUUUCAGUGCCAUCGUAACUUUGAACGGUCGCUAACCAAACUCUUGUAAGUCAAGGACCGCCUGUAAUUCGAAAAGGUGCCAUCGGAGUCAUCCAAACUCUUCAGCUACGGGGCUGAAUUUAGAAUAAUCUCUUUUAACGCAGAUUUUUCUGCAGGUCGUCGUUUCACGGAAAAAUAGGGGAAGGGAUCACUGAAUAAAAGGAGUUAAUGAAGAUUUAAUCCAGUGUUUCUCAACCAAUAUGGUUUGCCGGUCCAGACAAUUGACACUAAAUGAUUGACAGUCAAGGUUUGAACUCCCAGAAUUCCUGGCUGGCUGGGGAAUUCUGGGAAUUGAAGUCCCCACAUCUUGCCAAGGGUUGUGAAGCUGCUUUAAGAAAUAAAAAUGGGAGUUUUGACUUGUCUGCCUCUUUAACAUCCAGAGGCUGUGAGGGCCUUCCGGAACAACCCAAGAUAUACCUGUACAGGUAGUCCUCGACUUAUAAUUUAUUUAGUAAAAGCACUGAAAAUAUGACUUAACGAGUAUUUUUCACACGACCGUUGCAACAUCCCCAUGAUUACACGAUCAAAAUUCAGACGCUUGAAAGCAAAUUAGAUACCCAGACAACACAAUGUUUAUAAAGUGCUAAGAAUUGCAUU